This 137-nucleotide non-coding RNA is filed under the name Winslowiella iniecta. Its description in RNAcentral is "Erwinia iniecta Yersinia sRNA 155(RyfD)". It matches the Rfam family "Yersinia sRNA 155(RyfD)". Lineage: Bacteria; Pseudomonadati; Pseudomonadota; Gammaproteobacteria; Enterobacterales; Erwiniaceae. The record is from Rfam by way of RNAcentral.
CAAGACGAUCCAGUUAGCGUGUUUUUUCGCCUGUUAUUUAAGGUCAUUAACCUUGAAAUAUUUGAGGGAUGACCUCAUUUAAUCUCCAGUAGCAUUUUGACCUUUACAGGAGGAAUUAUGCGUCUGGAUCGUCUUAC